RNAcentral lists this long non-coding RNA (2261 nucleotides) under Phoenix dactylifera (date palm). RNAcentral's name for it is "long non-coding RNA (PDAC_LNC009471)". The record is from RNAcentral. Lineage: Eukaryota; Viridiplantae; Streptophyta; Magnoliopsida; Arecales; Arecaceae.
GUAAUCAACCAUUUGACGACAUGAUAGCACGAAAGUUCUAUGUGGGCCUCUAUCAUCAAAUUUAAAGAUUCAAUGGUGGAUCAAUCUUCAGAAUGACAUCAUGAAGAUCUUGUCUUUAUGAGGACAAGAUCUGCAUAGCGUAAGUGUAUGAUGUGGGAGCACCCUUUGGGUCCAUAGAGUAGUCCAUAAAAGUCUAAUAAUUCAAGCUUUUCUAUUUAAUUUGGUUUAUAAAUUGCUUAGGUCUAAUUAUUAUUUACAUCUCUUUUAGUAAUUGAUGUAUUUAGAUUAAAAAAGUAGCUAGGGUAUACUGUUUACAUAACUGUAACAAUAUAUGCUAUAGACUAUAGUAAUCAUGGUCAUUAAGGAGUCCUACUAAGAGUCAAAGGGGUGUUGAAACAGUGAGAUUUUUAAAGGAUUUGUAACAACCCAGGAUCUCACCCAAAAUGGUUAGCCGGAAGGUAUUAUUUGAAUUUCUUAAUUCUGUAUAAGUACCCAAGAUCUACCAAGAAAAUAACCGAUGUGGGACUAAACACACGCCUGCACGGAUCCUCACAUACUCUUUCUAUUCAAGCCUUGACGUCAUCGUCAAGCUAAGGAUUCAAAUCUAUUCACAAACACCACGAUCGGCUCAUGAUCAGCUACAAUGGAUCCGUAUUGUAGUGUCCCCUAGUCCACAUAGGUUAUGAGCUAGGUUUGCUCUAAUACCAUUUAUAACAACCCAGGACCUUAUCCAAAAUGAUUAGCUGAAAGGUAUUAUUUGGGCUUUUUGAUCCUAUAUAAGUACCCAUAAUCUACCUAACGAAUAAUCGAUGUGGGACUAAACUCACGUCCGCACGAGUCUUCAUAUACUCCCUCCGUUCAAGCCUUGACGUCCUUAUCAGGCUAAGGGUUCAAAUCCAUUCAAAUCUAAUCACAAAUACCAUGAUCGGCUCGUAGUCAAUUUCAAUGGAUCCGUGCUGCAGUGUCAUCUAGUCUAAAUAGGUUAUGGACCGGGUCCAUUCUGAUACUAUUUAUGACAAUCCAGAACCUCACCCAAAAUGGCUAGCCGGAAGGUAUUAUUUGGAUUUCUUGAUCCUGUAUAAGUACCCAUGAUCUACCCGGUGAAUAAUUGAUGUGGGACUAAAAUACGCCCGCACGUUAUGAAUCAUUGAUUUGAUCAUUAUCCUCAAUGAAAGUAGGAAUAUAGGAUUAUUGUUAAGAAAAUUGAUGAGACUAGUAGAUACAGUGGUAAGAGGAGACUUAACAAUAAGGUCGCCGAGCCGGAACUUGAUGCUGUACCGAUCAACCAUUGGUACGGUAUUGGUACCGAUUUGGUUCCGUUCUGAUACAUGGUAUGGGGUGGCGCACUAGUCAUCUAAUUCGUAUGCCAUUUUCUUUAUUUUUUUUAUAUUUUCUCAAUCUUUUUUUUUGUUUCCACUUAUUAUUUUGGUGAUUAUAGUCUAAUUUGUAAUUUUCACUUUCUUUGGGUUAUGAAAUUGAAUUGAAGUAUAAUUAAAGUAUUUAUAAGUGAAUAUACAUACAAUAUAACAAAUGGAGUAGAUUUAAUGUAUUUAAAGUAUAAAAUAAGUAUUGUUAUCUAAAAUUUUGUGGAGUGUCGAUGUCUCUUGUUAGGUGUUAGGAUCAUGAUCGUAGUUCAGGCCUAGGAUACUGCUAAAGAUUCUAAGAAGGCUACCCUAUCUUCUUGCAUUCUUUCAUAAUGUGUGCUCUUUGGAUAGCCAUCUUGAUACUGAUCCUCUGUUUGAUACUAGGCCGUUAGAAGGUCGCGGCAGCAAAAUUCGACACGUAAAUUAUUUGAGAUUGUAAAUUAUAGUAUCCACUUGAAUAUAAUGCUUUAGACAAAUUAUAUUCAUGCGUGUCAUAACCUGGCUGUGUGGAAUAGGAUCAUGUGUACAACUUAAAUCUAGAAAUGUCCGGAGAUCCUACUCCACGUAUGAGAUUAUCUGCAAUAACAUCUUACCCCUAAUGAUCUUGAAGGGUCUGUUUUCCGUAUACGAUGAUAUCCUUGCAGGCUCUACCAAGUCAUGCUCCGUGGCCCCUAUCCUAUGUAGCAAGAGUGAACUAGGGCUCACUAGUGAGUCAAAGAUCUUGAGGCUGUGAAUGUGAGCUAUAUACUGUCGUGCCAUAUCCUCUGCUACCUUCUUGGCCACUAGAUGCUUCAUCGCUCAAAUUGUCAUCACCAUUGGUAUCACGGGACGAUCUAGGCAACUGGCUCGUUCGUCUUUGAAUCUAUGUGAAAGGACUCCUCCUUGACUCUAAUGAAA